UACGUAGGGGGCUAGCGUUGCUCGGAAUUACUGGGCGUAAAGCGUGCGCAGGCGGUUUUGUAAGUCUGUCGUGAAAGCCCCGGGCUCAACCUGGGAAUUGCGAUGGAGACUGCAAGGCUAGAAUCUGGCAGAGGGGGGUAGAAUUCCACGUGUAGCAGUGAAAUGCGUAGAGAUGUGGAGGAACACCGAUGGCGAAGGCAGCCCCCUGGGUCAAGAUUGACGCUCAUGCACGAAAGCGUGGGGAGCAAACAGG
This 253-nucleotide ribosomal RNA is filed under the name uncultured bacterium. RNAcentral describes it as "partial 16S ribosomal RNA". It matches the Rfam family "Bacterial small subunit ribosomal RNA", at positions 524 to 776 of the family's 1533-position model. The record is from RNAcentral.